Molecule: ribosomal RNA, 392 nt
Filed under: uncultured bacterium
Lineage: Bacteria
Description: partial 16S ribosomal RNA
Rfam family: Bacterial small subunit ribosomal RNA
Source: RNAcentral
AUACGUAGGUGGCAAGCGUUAUCCGGAAUUAUUGGGCGUAAAGAGGGAGCAGGCGGCAGCAAGGGUCUGUGGUGAAAGCCUGAAGCUUAACUUCAGUAAGCCAUAGAAACCAGGCAGCUAGAGUGCAGGAGAGGAUCGUGGAAUUCCAUGUGUAGCGGUGAAAUGCGUAGAUAUAUGGAGGAACACCAGUGGCGAAGGCGACGAUCUGGCCUGCAACUGACGCUCAGUCCCGAAAGCGUGGGGAGCAAAUAGGAUUAGAUACCCUAGUAGUCCACGCCGUAAACGAUGAGUACUAAGUGUUGGAUGUCAAAGUUCAGUGCUGCAGUUAACGCAAUAAGUACUCCGCCUGAGUAGUACGUUCGCAAGAAUGAAACUUAAAGGAAUUGACGGGG